This 253-nucleotide ribosomal RNA is filed under the name uncultured bacterium. RNAcentral's name for it is "partial 16S ribosomal RNA". It matches the Rfam family "Bacterial small subunit ribosomal RNA", at positions 524 to 776 of the family's 1533-position model. The record is from RNAcentral.
UACGUAGGGGGCAAGCGUUGUCCGGAAUUAUUGGGCGUAAAGCGCACGCAAGCGGUUCGACAAGUCUGACGUGAAAUCUCCUGGCUUAACUGGGAGCGGUCGUUGGAAACUGUCGAGCUUGAGGCGAUGAGAGGGGUGCAGAAUUCCCGGUGUAGUGGUGGAAUGCGUAGAGAUCGGGGGGAAUACCUGUGGCGAAAGCGGCACCCUGGCUUCGUUCUGACGCUCAUGUGCGAAAGCGUGGGGAGCGAACGGG